Molecule: ribosomal RNA, 413 nt
Filed under: Inocybe sp.
Lineage: Eukaryota; Fungi; Basidiomycota; Agaricomycetes; Agaricales; Inocybaceae
Description: LSU rRNA
Rfam family: Eukaryotic large subunit ribosomal RNA
Source: RNAcentral
UCCCUUAGUAACUGCGAGUGAACUGGGAAAAGCUCAAAUUUAAAAUCUGACGGUCGUUGACUGUCCGAGUUGUAAUCUAGAGAAGUGUUGCCCGUGCUGGACCAUGUACAAGUCUCCUGGAAUGGAGCAUCACAGAGGGUGAGAAUCCCGUCUUUGACAUGGACUACCAGUGCUUUUUGGUAUGCUCUCAAAGAGUCGAGUUGUUUGGGAAUGCAGCUCAAAAUGGGUGGUAAAUGCCAUCUAAAGCUAAAUAUUGGCGAGAGACCGAUAGCGAACAAGUACCGUGAGGGAAAGAUGAAAAGAACUUUGGAAAGAGAGUUAAACAGUACGUGAAAUUGCUGAAAGGGAAACGCUUGAAGUCAGUCACAUUGACUUGGAAUCAACCCUGCUUUUGCUGGGUGUACUUUCUUGUC